AAAAAAAGGAGUAGCAUCCUUCCCAAGCCCUGAGCCGUGAGAAGCUCCCUGCCCAGAACUGAACGGACAGCUGCAGUGCAGGGUGGAGGUGCUCAGGUAGCACAACAAAAAAAGUGGAUGACUAGGAGAACAGCCAUUUAUGAGAAAAGUUCUGCCCUGAAUCACACUGACAUUGGAGUUGGCUGAUCAUGCACAGGUAAGUAGACAUUUCCUUCUUCA
This 219-nucleotide long non-coding RNA is filed under the name Gallus gallus (chicken). Its description in RNAcentral is "long non-coding RNA NONGGAT005832". Lineage: Eukaryota; Metazoa; Chordata; Aves; Galliformes; Phasianidae. The record is from RNAcentral.